This 253-nucleotide ribosomal RNA is filed under the name uncultured bacterium. Its description in RNAcentral is "partial 16S ribosomal RNA". It matches the Rfam family "Bacterial small subunit ribosomal RNA", at positions 524 to 776 of the family's 1533-position model. The record is from RNAcentral.
UACGAAGGGGGCUAGCGUUGCUCGGAAUCACUGAGCGUAAAGGGUGCGUAGGCGGGUCUUUAAGUCAGGGGUGAAAUCCUGGAGCUCAACUCCAGAACUGCCUUUGAUACUGAGGAUCUUGAGUUCGGGAGAGGUGAGUGGAACUGCGAGUGUAGAGGUGAAAUUCGUAGAUAUUCGCAAGAACACCAGUGGCGAAGGCGGCUCACUGGCCCGAUACUGACGCUGAGGCACGAAAGCGUGGGGAGCAAACAGG